AGAGUUUGAUCCUGGCUCAGGAUGAACGCUAGCGGCAGGCUUAACACAUGCAAGUCGAGGGGCAGCGGGGAGGAAGCUUGCUUUCUCCGCCGGCGACCGGCGCACGGGUGAGUAACACGUAUGCAACCUGCCCCUGUCAGGGGGACAACCCGCCGAAAGGCGGGCUAAACCCGCGUACAUGCCACCGGGGCAUCCCGGAGGCAGGAAAGGCUUCGGCCGGACAGGGAUGGGCAUGCGGCGCAUUAGGCAGUAGGCGGGGUAACGGCCCACCUAACCGACGAUGCGUAGGGGUUCUGAGAGGAAGGUCCCCCACACUGGUACUGAGACACGGACCAGACUCCUACGGGAGGCAGCAGUGAGGAAUAUUGGUCAAUGGUCGGGAGACUGAACCAGCCAAGCCGCGUGAGGGAGGAAGGUACAGAGUAUCGUAAACCUCUUUUGUCAGGGAACAAAGGCGGGGACGUGUCCCCGGAUGAGUGUACCUGAAGAAAAAGCAUCGGCUAACUCCGUGCCAGCAGUCGCGGUAAUACGGAGGAUGCGAGCGUUAUCCGGAUUUAUUGGGUUUAAAGGGUGCGCAGGCGGUCUGUUAAGUCAGCGGUCAAAGCCCGGGGCUCAACCCCGGCCCGCCGUUGAAACUGGCAGUCUCGAGUUGGAGAGAAGUAUGCGGAAUGCGCGGUGUAGCGGUGAAAUGCAUAGAUAUCGCGCAGAACUCCGAUUGCGAAGGCAGCAUGCCGGCUCCACACUGACGCUGAGGCACGAAAGCGUGGGUAUCGAACAGGAUUAGAUACCCUGGUAGUCCACGCAGUAAACGAUGAAUGCUGGCUGUCCGGGGGGAUUGACCCCUGGGUGGCGAAGCGAAAGCGAUAAGCAUUCCACCUGGGGAGUACGCCGGCAACGGUGAAACUCAAAGGAAUUGACGGGGGCCCGCACAAGCGGAGGAACAUGUGGUUUAAUUCGAUGAUACGCGAGGAACCUUACCCGGGCUCAAACGGGGAGUGACUCAGGCAGAGACGCCUGUUUCCCACGGGACACUCCCCGAGGUGCUGCAUGGUUGUCGUCAGCUCGUGCCGUGAGGUGUCGGCUUAAGUGCCAUAACGAGCGCAACCCCCGCGUGCAGUUGCUAACAGAUAACGCUGAGGACUCUGCACGGACUGCCGGCGCAAGCCGCGAGGAAGGCGGGGAUGACGUCAAAUCAGCACGGCCCUUACGUCCGGGGCGACACACGUGUUACAAUGGGUGGUACAGCGGGAAGCCAGGCGGCGACGCCGAGCGGAACCCGAAAUCCACUCUCAGUUCGGAUCGGAGUCUGCAACCCGACUCCGUGAAGCUGGAUUCGCUAGUAAUCUCGCAUCAGCCAUGGCGCGGUGAAUACGUUCCCGGGCCUUGCACUCACAGCCCGUCA
This 1402-nucleotide ribosomal RNA is filed under the name uncultured bacterium. RNAcentral's name for it is "16S ribosomal RNA". It matches the Rfam family "Bacterial small subunit ribosomal RNA". The record is from RNAcentral.